Molecule: ribosomal RNA, 462 nt
Filed under: uncultured bacterium
Lineage: Bacteria
Description: partial 16S ribosomal RNA
Rfam family: Bacterial small subunit ribosomal RNA
Source: RNAcentral
GACGAACGCUGGCGGCGUGCUUAACACAUGCAAGUCGAGCGGAAAGGCCCUUCGGGGUACUCGAUCGGCGAACCGGUGAGUAAGACGUGAGUAACCUGCCCCACACUUUGUGAUAACCCUCGGAAACGGGGGCUAAUACCGUAAACGCCACAGCUUUGCUUAGGGUCUUUGUUCAAAGUUUUUAGGUUUUGGAUGGGCUCCUGGCCAAUCAGCUUGUUGUUGGUUGGAUGGCCUACGAAGGCGACGACGGGUAGCCGGCCUGAGAGGGCGACCGGCCACACUAGGACUGAGACACGGCACAGACUCCAACGGGAGGCAGAAGUGGGGAAUAUUACACAGCGGGCGGAAGCCUGAUGCAACGACGCCGCGUGAGGGAUGACGGCCUUCGAGUUGUAAACCUAUUUCAACGGGGACGAGGCGUAAGUGACGGUACCUGAAGAGGAAGCGCCGGCCAACUACGUG